Molecule: ribosomal RNA, 485 nt
Filed under: Escherichia sp.
Lineage: Bacteria; Pseudomonadati; Pseudomonadota; Gammaproteobacteria; Enterobacterales; Enterobacteriaceae
Description: bacterial SSU rRNA
Rfam family: Bacterial small subunit ribosomal RNA
Source: RNAcentral
AGGCGACGAUCCCUAGCUGGUCUGAGAGGAUGACCAGCCACACUGGAACUGAGACACGGUCCAGACUCCUACGGGAGGCAGCAGUGGGGAAUAUUGCACAAUGGGCGCAAGCCUGAUGCAGCCAUGCCGCGUGUAUGAAGAAGGCCUUCGGGUUGUAAAGUACUUUCAGCGGGGAGGAAGGGAGUAAAGUUAAUACCUUUGCUCAUUGACGUUACCCGCAGAAGAAGCACCGGCUAACUCCGUGCCAGCAGCCGCGGUAAUACGGAGGGUGCAAGCGUUAAUCGGAAUUACUGGGCGUAAAGCGCACGCAGGCGGUUUGUUAAGUCAGAUGUGAAAUCCCCGGGCUCAACCUGGGAACUGCAUCUGAUACUGGCAAGCUUGAGUCUCGUAGAGGGGGGUAGAAUUCCAGGUGUAGCGGUGAAAUGCGUAGAGAUCUGGAGGAAUACCGGUGGCGAAGGCGGCCCCCUGACGAAGACUACGCUCAG